This 387-nucleotide ribosomal RNA is filed under the name Triticum aestivum (bread wheat). RNAcentral describes it as "partial small subunit ribosomal RNA". Lineage: Eukaryota; Viridiplantae; Streptophyta; Magnoliopsida; Poales; Poaceae. The record is from RNAcentral.
AUGGCUGGGCACUUUCAUGCUGCACCCAGGAAAGAACUAGAAACAAUUAGACAUAGCCGGGCAAGGUGGCGGCACAGAACGGGACAUCCUGUAACGUUGGAGUUGGACACACACAACUUCAUCAUCAAACAGCGAGGACACCACCACCACCACCCCUCCCUUCUCCGGGGAAGCUUUCCUUUCCUCCACGAUUCGAUGUUAACGCUGCAGUCGCAAGACCCUUCAUCUGUGAUCCUCCUUCCCGCGCAGUCUGUGGACAGGCUGGCCGCGGCGUCAAUGGAGAUGCUGGAGUCCAGGAGCCAGACGCCACCGUUGAUGACGACCCCUACUACAUUGGAGGUGCCUACUACUACGUGCUGCCCGCUGACGACGACCAGGAGUAGUUAG